AGUGAACGCUGGCGGUAGGCCUAACACAUGCAAGUCGAACGGCAGCACAGUAAGAGCUUGCUCUUACGGGUGGCGAGUGGCGGACGGGUGAGGAAUACAUCGGAAUCUACUUUUUCGUGGGGGAUAACGUAGGGAAACUUACGCUAAUACCGCAUACGACCUACGGGUGAAAGCAGGGGAUCUUCGGACCCUGCGCGAUUGAAUGGGCCGAUGUCGGAUUAGCUAGUUGGCGGGGUAAAGGCCCACCAAGGCGACGAUCCGUAGCUGGUCUGAGAGGAUGAUCAGCCACACUGGAACUGAGACACGGUCCAGACUCCUACGGGAGGCAGCAGUGGGGAAUAUUGGACAAUGGGCGCAAGCCUGAUCCAGCCAUACCGCGUGGGUGAAGAAGGCCUUCGGGUUGUAAAGCCCUUUUGUUGGGAAAGAAAAGCAGCAGGUUAAUACCCCGCUGUUCUGACGGUACCCAAAGAAUAAGCACCGGCUAACUUCGU
Molecule: ribosomal RNA, 491 nt
Filed under: uncultured bacterium
Lineage: Bacteria
Description: partial 16S ribosomal RNA
Rfam family: Bacterial small subunit ribosomal RNA
Source: RNAcentral